CAGAGCUUCGAAGCCUGGAGGGUUUACUCUUCAGGCGAGAACUCCACCCUUUGUUUACAUUACCUUUGUUGCUUUAGCAGGCCCGCUCUCGGGCCGCCGGCAAUAGCUGGUCAGUGCCUGCUAGAGGACCUAAAACUCAUGUUAAUAAAGUUGUCUGAGUACUAUAUAAUAGUUA
This 175-nucleotide unclassified non-coding RNA is filed under the name uncultured fungus. RNAcentral describes it as "sequence contains ITS1, 5.8S rRNA gene". Lineage: Eukaryota; Fungi. The record is from RNAcentral.